This 433-nucleotide ribosomal RNA is filed under the name uncultured bacterium. RNAcentral's name for it is "partial 16S ribosomal RNA". It matches the Rfam family "Bacterial small subunit ribosomal RNA", at positions 29 to 507 of the family's 1533-position model. The record is from RNAcentral.
AACGAACGCUGGCGGCAUGCCUAACACAUGCAAGUCGAACGAGACCUUCGGGUCUAGUGGCGCACGGGUGCGUAACGCGUGGGAACCUGCCCUUAGGUUCGGAAUAACUUCCCGAAAGGGGUGCUAAUACCGGAAAAUGUCUUCGGACCAAAGAUUUAUCGCCUUUGGAUGGGCCCGCGUUGGAUUAGCUGGUUGGUAGGGUAAAAGCCUACCAAGGCGACGAUCCAUAGCUGGUCUGAGAGGAUGAUCAGCCACACUGGGACUGAGACACGGCCCAGACUCCUACGGGAGGCAGCAGUGGGGAAUAUUGGACAAUGGGCGGAAGCCUGAUCCAGCAAUGCCGCGUGAGUGAUGAAGGCCUUAGGGUUGUAAAGCUCUUUUACCCGGGAUGAUAAUGACAGUACCGGGAGAAUAAGCUCCGGCUAACUCCGUG